CAGAGGUUUAGACGUGACUACCACUGC
RNAcentral lists this non-coding RNA (27 nucleotides) under Mus musculus (house mouse). Lineage: Eukaryota; Metazoa; Chordata; Mammalia; Rodentia; Muridae. The record is from RNAcentral.